GACGAACGCUGGCGGCGUGCUUAACACAUGCAAGUCGAACGGAAAGGCCCUGCUUUUGUGGGGUGCUCGAGUGGCGAACGGGUGAGUAACACGUGAGUAACCUGCCCUUGACUUUGGGAUAACUUCAGGAAACUGGGGCUAAUACCGGAUAGGAGCUCCUGCUGCAUGGUGGGGGUUGGAAAGUUUCGGCGGUUGGGGAUGGACUCGCGGCUUAUCAGCUUGUUGGUGGGGUAGUGGCUUACCAAGGCUUUGACGGGUAGCCGGCCUGAGAGGGUGACCGGCCACAUUGGGACUGAGAUACGGCCCAGACUGCUACGGGAGGCAGCAGUGGGGAAUAUUGCACAAUGGGCGGAAGCCUGAUGCAGCAACGACGCGUGCGGGAUGACGGCCUUCGGGUUGUAAACCGCUUUCGCCUGUGACGAAGCGUGAGUGACGGUAAUGGGUAAAGAAGCACCGGCUAACUACGUG
This 468-nucleotide ribosomal RNA is filed under the name uncultured bacterium. Its description in RNAcentral is "partial 16S ribosomal RNA". It matches the Rfam family "Bacterial small subunit ribosomal RNA", at positions 28 to 507 of the family's 1533-position model. The record is from RNAcentral.